GUUACAGCAUCUUGUCUGCACCCUGGUCUGGAAUUUGCCAGAUGUUUUUCAAAGGAAUAUUUAUGUUUAAUAGUAGCUGUCAUUUACCGAAUGCCAUCGUUGUGUGCAUGUUACAUGUAUUGUCAUAGAUCCUUACAACAGUUCCGCAAGGUGGUAAUUUUGCAUGUGACAAAUCUGAGGCCAGAGGAUGUAAAUAACUUUCAGCCUCACAGCUGCAUAUCAGAGUUAUCCUUAGAUUCAACCCUCCAUGCCAUCAAUCUGCAUUGUAACAACAUCUCGAAGAUCGAAGCCAUUGACCAUGUCUGGAAUUUACAACAUUUAGACUUGUCAUCUAAUCAAAUAAGUCAAAUAGAAGGGCUAAGCACACUGACAAAACUACGCACUUUAAAUUUGUCCUGCAAUUUGAUCACAAAAGUAGAAGGACUUGAAGCACUAAUUAAUCUGACUAGACUGAAUUUAUCCUAUAACCACAUAAAUGAUUUAAGUGGUUUGAUGCCCCUUCAUGGAAUCAAACAUAAGCUUAGAUACAUCGACCUGCACAGCAACUGCAUAGACAGCAUCCAUCACCUACUCCAGUGCGUGGUGGGUUUGCACUUCCUGACGAACCUGGUUUUGGAGAAGGAUGGCGACGAUAACCCUGUCUGUCGGGUGCCAGGGUACCAAGCAGUUAUGCUGCAGACCCUGCCACAGCUUCGAAUCCUGGACUGCAAGAACAUAUUUGGUGAGCCGGUCGACCUCUCACAGAUUAACUCCUCAAGUCUGCAGUGUUUUGAAGGUCUUUUGGAUAAUUUGGCUUCAUCUGAUUCUCCCCUAAAUAUCAGUGAAGAUGAGGUUGCUGAUGGAAUGCCACCGGUGGUUACAGCCCCCACGGGUGAUGACAUGGCCCCCCGGGACCCGUUUGCAAGUACACCGACUGACACUGGGCUGCCAUCUUUCAUGUCUGUGUGCCCACCUGAGCCAGAGAAGGUUAAUGAAGAUACCGAUUUUCAGAACGAGAUGAAACUUCAGAAAUUAGAUGAUCAGUUUUUACAGCUUCUCAAUGAAACUUCUACUUCUUUAAUGAAUAAUGUUCCCGAGAAAGACCUGAUGCUGAAAAGAGACAUGGAUAUCACUUCUGAAAGUGAUUAUGGAAACAGAAAAGAAUGCAAUAGAAAAAUUCCUCGAAGAUCGAAAAUCCCAUAUUAUUCUAAAGCAAUUCAGACCAUUAAGCACUACAACAAAAAUAGUAACUCUUCCAUAAGUUACAGUCAUAAAAUGAAGCAGCCUUUCUUUAAAGACUUGUAUGUGUGUUCCUCUCUGGCAAACUGCAGCCAAGUGGAAGAGGUGGAGGAGCCGAGGACUGAGCUGAUGAAAGUGAACAUCAGUUGCCCAGAGGACACCUACCGGAUACUUGUCGAGCAGCUAGAUCAGGAGAGAGAGAAGAGGUGGAAAGCGGAACAAGCUGAAAAGAAGCUCAUGGAUUACAUUGAUGAACUGCAUAAACAUGCAAACGAAAAGAAAGACAUCCACAGCCUGGCUCUGCUCACCACAGACAGGUUAAAGGAGAUUAUUUUUAAAGAGAGAAAUUCCAAAGUGCAUCUGGAAGUUAUGGUUCACAAACUUCAAAACGAAAUUAAGAAACUAAGUAUUGAAUUAAUUAAAGCAAGAGAUCAGCAGGAGGACCACAUCCGGCACCUGAGAGCCCUGGAGCGAGCGCUGGAGAAGAUGGAGCGGCAGAAAGGGCAGCAGCAGGCGGCACAGAUGAGGCUUAUCGAAGAGGUGGAGCUCAAAGCGGCAGCUGCCGACCGAGAAAUUACCUUGCUUCGAACUUCCCUUCAGCAAGAAAAGGACCAGGUGCAGCAGCUUCACGAUCUCCUUGCACUGAAGGAGCAAGAGCACAGGAAAGAACUUGAAACAAGGGCAUUUUUUAGUGAAGCUGAAUUACAAGAAGCCAUAGCCAAGGAAGUGGCAAAAGAAGAGGUAAAGCAUGAACAAGAGAUCAAAGGAUACCAAGAAAAAAUCGACGCAUUAAAUCAGCAAUACCUGGAUUUAGAGAAUGAAUUUCGUAUUGCUUUAACUCUCGAAGCCAGAAGAUUUAAAGAUGUUAAAGAUGGUUUUGAAAGUGUUGCAACUGAGUUAGCGAAGAGCAAGCAUGCUCUUGUUUGGGCUCAACGGAAAGAAAACGAGUCUUCCUCUUUAAUUAAAGAUCUGGCCUGCAUGGUGAAGGAGCAAAAGUCAAAGCUUGCCGAAGUCUCCAAAAUGAAACACGAAACAGCAACAAACUUGCAGUUGCAUUGCGUUUUCCCAUGCCUGGGGAGUAUACAGAAUCAGAUCAGCACCCUUGAACUCCUGAUCGAAGAUGACAAGCAGAAGAGCAUCCAGCUCGAGCUGCUCAAGCACGAGAAAGUCCAGCUGAUUGCUGAGCUCGCGGCCAAGGAGUCACUGAUUUACGGUCUCAGGACAGAGAGAAAAGUGUGGGGCCACGAGCUGGCACAACAGGGAUCUUGUCUGGCCCAGGAUCGCGGGAAACUGGAGGCGCAGAUCGAAAGUUUAUGUAAAGAGAAUGAGUCUCUGCGGAAGACGAAUGAGCAAGACAGUGACACGCUGAAGAUUAAGUGCAAAAUCAUAGAGGACCAAACCGAGACCAUCGGGAAAUUAAAAGCUUGUUUACAGGAGAGAGAGGAACAGAUCAAAAUAUUACAAGAAAACAUCUGUGAAAUACAGAAAUGUACUCAAGAACAACUUGACGAAAAAUGUUCGCAACUGGAUGACAUAAUUGAGAAACUAGAAAGACACAAUGAAAGAAAAGCAAAACUAAAACAGCAGUUGCAAGUAAAGGAAUUAGAACUUGAAGAAAUUAGAAAAGCUUACAGUACCCUUAAUCAGAAGUGGCAUGACAAAGGGGAGCUCCUCUGUAAUCUGGAAAAACAAGUAAAGGAAGUGAAGGAGAAAUUUGAGAACAAGGAAAGGAAGCUGAAAGCGGAAAGAGAUCAAAGUGUUGAGCGACAAAAGGAUGCUGUGGAAAAGCUCCAUUGUAUGGAUGAUGCCUUUAAAAAACAAGUGGAGGCAAUUGUAGAAGCUCACCACGCUGAAAUAAUACAACUGGAAAAUGAAAAGCAAAAAUAUAUUGAUUCUGCAAAUUUAAAGGGUCUUGGGACAUAUCCCCACAGAUGGGGGGACUCUCUUCUGUACAUGGGAGACUCAGAAAUAAGCAGCCAGAAAGAGCCCCACCAGAGAAAGUGACAGGAAUCUCUGUGUCAUUCUGGUCAAGGUUGUGUGAUUAGUGGACAUGACUCGGGAGUCUGUGAAGAGCGGAUGAGAGCUUUAGAAAGCAUCACAAUGAUAAGGAAGUAUGACUUGUUCAGAACUUAGUUCUAUAUUUCAAGUCAAAUCAACAGACGUUUCAGAUGUUUUAUUUAAGAUCUGCUGAGUGUUUGGCAAAGGUACAUCAGGUACCAAGUCAAGUAUCAGGAUAGGCGCUUACUUGGCUGAAAGGAAAAUGCCAAGUUCUGUUUUAGACCUCCCACCAAUAUGACAUAAAAUUAAAGGGAUAGAUUUGUUGAGGAGUUAAAUAAAUGGUACCAGAAUUUACAUGUGACAAUAAAAAAAAAAAAAAAAAAAAAAGUGAGGUACCACAGAGAAAUGAUAAUUUAAAUUAGGAGAAAUAUUAACUUUCUGGGGGAGAAAAAGUAGGAAAUCUAUAUUAGGAAGAUUUAUAUUAAUCUAGUGAUGAGGAAGAGGGCUGGGCAUAGUGAUAAUCCUUUUGUGAGAGCUGUAUUAAAGAAGAGAGUUUCAAGCAGAAAUUAAUGGUAUUAAUUACAGAAAACUCUGCGGGGAGCAACCCAUUGUCUUCGCCAGCAGAGUGGUGUGGACAAGGAACCCGGAAGGGCGGUGACCUAGAGCUCUGGUGCAGGUCAGGGCAUACACUCUCUGUCCAGUGGAGACAAUGGCAGCUGAGGCCACUUUCCCACCAGGUCAUGUGAAUCCUUACUGUAAGAGUCUGCCUGUUACUGGAAAUUGCCUGCCUAAGGGCUAUAGGUGUCUCCCAAACUGAAUAAAAGAUGACAAAGCCAGUGCCCAAGUGGAGUCCUUCCUCUUGAGCUGGGCUCCCACCUGGUCCCCCCAUAUUUCCAAAUUAUUGUUUCUUGUCUCUCAUUUGCGUGUGGCCCCUCUUCCAGAGCCCGAGCCCUGAACCAUGCGGGAUGUGGGGAAUUCACAGAACUCUACUGAUUAAAUGACCCCUCAGAAACAUGGCAGUUUUUUUUAAACACUUUUUUAAAAUACGUUUUUAUUGAUUUUUAGAGAGGGGGAAGGAGGACAGAAGCAUCAUUGAUCGAUACCUCCUGCAUGGCCCCUACUGGGGAUCGUUACCCCAGGCAUGUGCUCUAACUGGGGAUUAAAUCUGUGACCUCUUUUUUCCUGGGUCGAUGCUUAACCGCUAAGCCACACCAGCUGGGCAAAGAUGGAAAUUUAAAACCACCAACAGCAACUGAAGAAAUGCUGUUGGAACUAUAGUAGAUUAUCUAUCAUUGGGAAGGGAAGUUAUGUUAAGUUUGAAAGUCCGUAAGGGUCUAGUGUUUAAGGUGAGUGCAUGACUCAGCACUCAUGGCAGUAAAGGACAGUGCAGACCUGAAGCCAGAAGAAUGCAUGACUCGGCACUCAUGGCAGCACAGGACAGUGCAGAGAUGGAGCCAGGAGACUCUUUCUGUCCACACGUGCUACUGAAGCUGCAUGACCUUCAACAAAUCGUCUAAGCUCUAAAACAGAGUAAAUAAAUCACCACAUGCCCACCACCAGAACCUGUGAGAAAUAGAUACUAAACAUGUUCAUCAAGUUGAAGAAGAAAUGCGUGAACUUCUGCAAGAAAACUGCAAGAACAAAAAAGCACUGGAAGCAAAAAUUAAGCAUCUUGCUUUUGCUCUAAAUGAAAUUCAUCAAGUCUUGUGAUGGUUCUGAAAACGAAUUCAAUUGAAAUGGAUCAGCAGACCAAUUGUAAAAAUAAUUAAAUAUUGUAACAGUAGUAA
This is an RNA transcript of Pipistrellus kuhlii (Kuhl's pipistrelle), 5003 nucleotides long. It is a transcript of the gene named leucine rich repeat and coiled-coil centrosomal protein 1, with no coding region annotated. The record is from RefSeq and is a predicted model, not a curated record. The transcript has 20 exons. NCBI's taxonomy places the organism in Eukaryota, Metazoa, Chordata, Mammalia, Chiroptera, Vespertilionidae.